Long non-coding RNA from Halichondria panicea, 938 nucleotides. RefSeq lists it as uncharacterized. The record is from RefSeq and is a predicted model, not a curated record. Lineage: Eukaryota; Metazoa; Porifera; Demospongiae; Suberitida; Halichondriidae. The transcript has 2 exons.
AUAGCCUCGAUCCCAGGCCGAGUUUUCGCUUUUAUAACGGUUAGGCGAACAACUGGGCCUGGUACUAGUUGUCUGCGCAUGCGUCAAUCGUUCGUCAGAUUCUGACGAAUGGAUAUUCUCGUUCACUUUCGUGACAUUUAUAUUCGUGUACUAUCGUGUACUAGAAGUCAGUUCCCGUUUUAUCAUUAUUGGAAUCGAUUGGAAUGGCUCUUAGCUGAAGCUUCUCUCUUCUCUGAAGCUUAUUCUGAAGACUGAACAACAAGGGAAGAGGUAUAAAGCUUUGUCAAGCUUGUUAAGGUCAGAUAUUUUUGUAUGGGCCCUAUGGCCGGCUAUGCUAUCAAGUCUUGUUCAUGUUUGGCAAGAAUGUAGGUAGACUAUAGUUUCAUCAUUAAUAUGGUGGAUCAAGUGAAGAGUGUGAGCUAGAGAACUUGGUGCUGCCAUCAUCAGCUCGUCGACAAUGACACUAUAACCGAGAAAUUUAAUAUGUAUAGAUCUACAUGUAUUUAAAAUGUCUACUUCUCUGUACAGGAGCAAUGGCUAAUAUCCAGCUAUCCCAACAGUGCUCCUCUUGGCUAUACUAACGGACGAGACUGGACAGUUUGAGACACAGGACUGGAGUAUGACCUGCUCAUUCGAGCGUUGCUGGGUAGCUCAGAGACAUCAAGAGAAUCUACAUUUUCUCAAGCAAUGAGUUACGAGUUGGGGCCUAGAAUCAGAGAAGUCCAGCAGCCUGCUAAAUCUUUUUGAAACGUAAUUUGAAGGCAUUCAAUCAUCCUGAAGUUGCCCUGGGUCACUGUAAUUGUGCUGCAGCACAACUGGCAACUCCCCAGGCCUUUGUGAAGCAGCUCCCUAUGUGCAUCUUUUGUGUACUCACUCUGUGCAUUUUCUGUGUACAAAUUUCAAUUAUUGAUUUAUUAAAUAUUUUUGCCGACCACAAA